CGUCAACUUCUACGCAGGGGCCCCCCAAAACAUAGAAGUGGCACUGCGAAUGCACGAACUCUAACUUAAACUCAGGCGCACACUAAAUCAACUGGCUCCAGCCAGAUCGCAAACACCCGGGCUCUUGUUGCCUACACUGGACUACACAACUCCCCACCCAAAGGAGCCGCAAAAAACACGUAACAGCGAUUUGAUUCUUCAGCUGACAGCAAGAGGGUUUAUUGUACACGAGUUACACUUGGCCACAAGAGAACAGAACUAGUCCAGAAUGCCAAAGGUCCAGGGCAGAGGGCCAGCGGGACUGUUUUGGUUGUGAGGAAGGUAGUCAUUUUCCCAGCUGAUCUCGGCGAGGUGACAUUCCGGGUCUACUGAGACUUAUUACCGACAGCAGCAUACAGUCCAACCACUUGUUCCGGGCUUCAGCAUCCCUUACUUCUGCUCCCGCAGGCUUCGUGGGUGCACAAGAUGGUUUACUUGGACCUCUGCCUCAUCUUUCUUCUCUUGCGCUUCAGCCUGGAAAGGCAGGCACACAAACCGAGUUAAUUUUUUCCCCUUCCCACAUUUACCAUCUGCACUUCGUACAAAAUACGAUGAAAUUAAACAACACCAGCUCCGAUGAACCGUGCUUAAACGUCCCUCCACGCCAAACAUUUUCACAUUAAGUUUCUUCUAAACAUCCCACCCCAAGCUUUGCCCCUUUGCCCCAAUGUUAAGUCAAAAAAUUAACGUACCUGCGCAUUCUCUUCUUCCGCCACUAAAAGCCCGAUCAUGUGAGAAGACAAAAAAGAAUGUUAGCAGUAGGCCCGGGUAAGAACAUUACUCAGAAAACAGGUUUGACAAAGAAUCAAGAGUUGGUGCGGCACUGGCUCAAUUUUAGAUCCGAAUCUUGUUUUCCCACCUUCCUCCAGCUACGACUUAAGCCUGUACUCGGCUCUGUGAAAACCCGAAGCAAACCGUUUGCAAACCCGAUGAAGAACCAUGGCGGAGAUUCACUGCCUGAUUUUCCGCCUCACAAUUCCUUCCUACCGCCCAAGCUCACCACUUAUGAACCGCUCACCUUCGCUCUCAUGGCGCAGGAGUCUCUAGAAAGA
RNAcentral lists this long non-coding RNA (1091 nucleotides) under Rattus norvegicus (Norway rat). RNAcentral describes it as "long non-coding RNA NONRATT025471". Lineage: Eukaryota; Metazoa; Chordata; Mammalia; Rodentia; Muridae. The record is from RNAcentral.